This 74-nucleotide transfer RNA is filed under the name Podarcis lilfordi (Lilford's wall lizard). Its description in RNAcentral is "tRNA.Lys". It matches the Rfam family "tRNA". Rfam says of the family: Transfer RNA (tRNA) molecules are approximately 80 nucleotides in length. Their secondary structure includes four short double-helical elements and three loops (D, anti-codon, and T loops). Further hydrogen bonds mediate the characteristic L-shaped molecular structure. tRNAs have two regions of fundamental functional importance: the anti-codon, which is responsible for specific mRNA codon recognition, and the 3' end, to which the tRNAs corresponding amino acid is attached (by aminoacyl-tRNA synthetases). tRNAs cope with the degeneracy of the genetic code in two manners: having more than one tRNA (with a specific anti-codon) for a particular amino acid; and 'wobble' base-pairing, i.e. permitting non-standard base-pairing at the 3rd anti-codon position. Lineage: Eukaryota; Metazoa; Chordata; Lepidosauria; Squamata; Lacertidae. The record is from RNAcentral.
UGCUGGAUAGCUCAGUUGGUGGAGCAUGAGACUCUUAAUCUCAGGGUUAUGGGUUUGAGCCCCACUUUGGGCAA